This is a long non-coding RNA of Oreochromis aureus, 3287 nucleotides long. The record is from Ensembl. Lineage: Eukaryota; Metazoa; Chordata; Actinopteri; Cichliformes; Cichlidae.
GAUUUUGAACUGCAGUUUAUUAAAGUGCAAGUGGAAAAAGGAUUUUGAAAAAGGAUUUUGAAAUGCAGUUUAUUAAAUUGCAAUUGGAAAAAGGAUUUUGAGAUGCAGUUUAUUAAAGUGCAAUUGGAAAAAGGAUUUUGAAAUGCAGUUUAUUAAAGUGCAAUUGGAAAAAGGAUUUUGAAAUGCAGUUUAUUAAAUUGGAAUUCAAAAAUGAAUUUACAAUUGCAGAAUUUAUUCUACAAUUCAUUAUUUAAGCACAGAAAUUUUUAUUUCGAUGCGCGUGGCUCUUGUGGUCCUCCAUAUUCCUCGGUCUUCCUUUGAGAAACAUCAGGUCAGUUUUUUAAAUGUGAAUUUGUUGUGAAGCAGGAUCAUUACAAUGAAACAGCAAAAACAAACAAACAAACAAAAAAAACUACAAGAAAACUUUUCACCAAAAACAUAUUUUAUAUAUAAGUGCAUUAGUGCAUUUAAGUUUGAAAUGAACUAUGUCAAUACAGGAAUCUUUCGCCCACAAUGUGGAAUUACAAUAUUUAAUCUAAUACAUACACCGAAUGUCCCAAAUGAAACUUCUGACCACAUAUAUGCUCAUAUUUUGGAAUGGAUGGAAGAAGGCAUAAAUGGUCAUGGGCUGAGUUAGGGGGAUGAUGGUGGACUGAUGUAGGGUGGUGGUGCUGGUAGUAGUAGUGAUGGUAGUGGCGGUGGCGGCGUUGGUGGCAGUGGUGACUGGUUGAUGUAGGGUGGUGGGGCUGGCAGUGGUGGUGGCGACGGUGGUGGGGGAAGUGGGAGCUGGUUGAGGCACGGUGGUGGGUUGAUGUAGGGUGGUGGUGAAGGUGGGUUGAUGUAGGGUGGUGGUUCAAGCUGAAAAACAGGACAUUUGAUGAAGGAGCGUGCUUAUUACUGGAUUAAGAAUAGACUCGGACAAGUGAACAACAUGAGCAUCAUCAUCAUCAUCAUGACAUGUCAUAAAUGCAUGAAUACUUACUAUGUAUGGAGGGGGAGGACUGUCAUUUCUUAAGUUGUACACAGGAGGCUGAAAAUACAGUUCAUAAACGUGAAUUACUUCCUCCUCGUCCCGCUGUUGCUCGUCCAGUAUAGGAAUCGUGUACACAGCGGGAGAAUUAUUGUAACUAGAUGAGCAGUAUUGUCCUGGUUCUCUAUUAUAAGUUAGGCAACAAAAUAUGCACACAAGGAUGGCGACAAUCAACACAGGAACCCUGGAAAGAGAAAGACAACUUAAUCAUUAACUAACAUUAAUAAAAUGAGGUGUUCGUAUCAAUCUUGCCCUGAGAGGAAAUACUUACAAAUAAAUAAGAAAGUUGAAGUCCAUCAGAUUUUUCUUUAAAGCUAAGUAAAGUUUAAGAAAAAAGAGCACUUGUCAAAAAAUAAAUACAUUUUCAAUCUCAUUUUUAAUUUAUGAACUUAACUCUUCUUUAUGGAUGUUAUGCAAUCAGGUGUUCACUGUCUAAGUCUUACUAAGGAGAAGUUCAAAGGUAGAUUUUUAUCUUCUUCUACUGUCAGACUACAAUAAAAAAAAUACCUGGAAACACUUUAUACAUAAUAUGGCCUACGACUUAAGCUAUAAUUCCCCUGUAACUACAAGGAAUUUAAUGUAUUUUACUUAAAAUUACAAUGAAAUUACAUUUACCUACAAAUACUUAAAGCUGGGUACAGAAGGCACUCAUUUCCUGUAUAUUUAUUUAGAAAGUUAUGAUUAAACAGUGAUGACUUGGCUCUAUCAUUAUACAGUCACGUAGGCCUGUAAAAGAACAGCUGACUUAGAGAACAUCCAUCAUGCACAUUGACAUAUUGAGUAUUAAAUAAAAAUGUAAAAAGGACAGAUUUAUUCCACUCCAUAACAAGGCCAACACCCCAUAAAAUACAGUGAAUUUACGAUGUAAGACGUGAAUAUAGUGUUUGGUAUUCCACAAAAUGACCAUGACAUUUUACACUACUUUAAAUUACUUAUGCAGUACUUACAUUUACUUACCGUAUAAUCAUUUCUUUGUUUCCUGUAAAAACCUGAUUUGUUGCCCACCUAUUUUAUUCUGUUAUUCCUACCUUUAAGUAUUUGUAGCUUGAUAUAAUUACAUUAUAAUUUAAAAACACUGAUUUAAUUACCGGGGAAUUACACCUUAGUCACAGCACGUAUUAUAAAUUCUUAGCGAUGGUUGUUUAAGGUAAAGCUAAUCAACAUUUACGUUAAAACUUCAUGUAACACAGACGUUUAAUUGUUGCUAACACACUUUACAUCACACCUCAGUACAAAAUUAAACUUCAACAGAAUGUGGAUCAAACGAAGUGGAAGAAUACAGCAAGCGAGGAAAUUUUUUUUUCACUUUGAAUGACAUGUAAUGACAGGCUGUGUGUGACCAGACUUCUCCUCGUGAUAUGGGCCUCGCUCAACAAAAUCCAUUACUAACAGAUUCAUCAAAUGAUUUCCAUUCUUAAAAUAAAGCUUACCUUCAGCUAUAUGCAGGUUAAGCAGAAUGUUGACUUAUAUCAAUGUACAGCCUCAUGGACUUGUUUAAGAAGCAGAAAUCACCUAGAUUGGCGCUACUGACGCAACUUAUCAUCAGUUAUGCUCUUGCUACACAGUAUAUUGACAGCUGCACUGGGCUAAAGUCCACUGCCAUUAAAGGUAACAAUAUGAAGGUGUAAUAAGGAAAGGAAAUCACAUUUGGGGUGGGGGGUGGGGUGGGGGGAUAAGCAGACAAGGGAGAGCAAGAAUCCCUGUUUCAGCUUGUUUUUAAGGAAUGCAGUCGAGGUGUUGUUGAGACAUGUUGGAGGAAUCUGUACAGCGGCUAUCUGUACCAACAGAACUGCCAUUCAACAGGCUUUAAACCACUGCAAGCUCUCGAGCUAAAAAAAAAACAAAAUGUUGAUCUCACAGGCUUGUUCACAGUCUGAGUAACCGCAAGUAAUAUGAGAAGUUAUUCUACCAAGUACAAGACACACUGUAAUGUUACAGUCUUAGGGGAGGUGGGGGAGGUGGGGGAGGCGGUGGCGGCACAUUAACAGAGGUGCCAGUGUUGAGACGUGGUGCUGACAGAAGAGGAGGCGGAGGAGGAAGAGGGGAACCUGAAGAUAUGGGAGGAGGUGGCGACGGGAAGGUGCUUGAUGGGCUUAUAGGUGGUGGAGGGGGAGGGGGAGGCGGGGGGAGAUCUGUGGGCGAGGGGAAGGUGGGCGGAGGGGGGAGGUCAGCGUCCAUGGAGAAAGAGGGAGGCGGCGGGGGAGUAGGCAGGUCGGGGUCCAAACUGGCCGAAGAGGCCGGAGGAGGAGGAGGCAGG